GUGUCAGCAGCCGCGGUAAUACGUAGGUGGCGAGCGUUGUCCGGAAUUACUGGGUGUAAAGGGCGUGUAGGCGGGACUGUAAGUCAGAUGUGAAAUUCCAGGGCUUAACUCUGGAGCUGCAUCUGAAACUAUGGUUCUUGAGUGCUGGAGAGGAAAGCGGAAUUCCUAGUGUAGCGGUGAAAUGCGUAGAUAUUAGGAGGAACACCAGUGGCGAAGGCGGCUUUCUGGACAGUAACUGACGCUGAGGCGCGAAAGCGUGGGGAGCAAACAGGAUUAGAUACCCUGGUAGUCCACGCUGUAAACGAUGGAUACUAGGUGUAGGAGGUAUCGACCCCUUCUGUGCCGCAGUUAACACAAUAAGUAUCCCACCUGGGGAGUACGGCCGCAAGGUUGAA
Molecule: ribosomal RNA, 395 nt
Filed under: uncultured bacterium
Lineage: Bacteria
Description: bacterial SSU rRNA
Rfam family: Bacterial small subunit ribosomal RNA
Source: RNAcentral